GAUGAACGCUAGCUACAGGCUUAACACAUGCAAGUCGAGGGGCAGCGCAGUGUAGCAAUACAUGGGCGGCGACCGGCGCACGGGUGCGUAACGCGUAUCCAACCUUCCCGUUACUCAGGGAUAGCCUUCCGAAAGGGAGAUUAAUACCUGAUGGUGUUGAAAUUCCGCAUGUUAUUUCAACUAAAGAUUUAUCGGUAACGGAUGGGGAUGCGUGACAUUAGAUAGUAGGCGGGGUAACGGCCUACCAAGGCAACGAUCGUUAGGGGUUCUGAGAGGAAGGUCCCCCACACUGGAACUGAGACACGGUCCAGACUCCUACGGGAGGCAGCAGUGAGGAAUAUUGGUCAAUGGUCGGAAGACUGAACCAGCCAAGUAGCGUGAAGGAUGAAAGGUUCUAUGGAUUGUAAACUUCUUUUAUACGGGAAUAAAACCUCCACGUGUGGGAGCUUGUAUGUACCGUAUGAAUAAGCAUCGGCUAACUCCGUGCCAGCAGCCGCGGU
RNAcentral lists this ribosomal RNA (500 nucleotides) under uncultured bacterium. RNAcentral describes it as "bacterial SSU rRNA". It matches the Rfam family "Bacterial small subunit ribosomal RNA", at positions 28 to 521 of the family's 1533-position model. The record is from RNAcentral.